RNAcentral lists this ribosomal RNA (421 nucleotides) under Bifidobacterium breve. RNAcentral's name for it is "bacterial SSU rRNA". It matches the Rfam family "Bacterial small subunit ribosomal RNA", at positions 466 to 884 of the family's 1533-position model. The record is from RNAcentral. Lineage: Bacteria; Bacillati; Actinomycetota; Actinomycetes; Bifidobacteriales; Bifidobacteriaceae.
GUGUUGAGUGUACCUUUCGAAUAAGCACCGGCUAACUACGUGCCAGCAGCCGCGGUAAUACGUAGGGUGCAAGCGUUAUCCGGAAUUAUUGGGCGUAAAGGGCUCGUAGGCGGUUCGUCGCGUCCGGUGUGAAAGUCCAUCGCUUAACGGUGGAUCCGCGCCGGGUACGGGCGGGCUUGAGUGCGGUAGGGGAGACUGGAAUUCCCGGUGUAACGGUGGAAUGUGUAGAUAUCGGGAAGAACACCAAUGGCGAAGGCAGGUCUCUGGGCCGUUACUGACGCUGAGGAGCGAAAGCGUGGGGAGCGAACAGGAUUAGAUACCCUGGUAGUCCACGCCGUAAACGGUGGAUGCUGGAUGUGGGGCCCGUUCCACGGGUUCCGUGUCGGAGCUAACGCGUUAAGCAUCCCGCCUGGGGAGUACG